UAUAUAUAUAGGGAUAAUAAUAUCGAAGUCGAACCCGGGCCGCCCGCGUGGCAGGCGAGUAUUCUACCACUGAACCACCUAUGC
Cordylochernes scorpioides is the source of this 84-nucleotide non-coding RNA. The record is from the annotation of a GenBank genome assembly. Lineage: Eukaryota; Metazoa; Arthropoda; Arachnida; Pseudoscorpiones; Chernetidae.